RNAcentral lists this ribosomal RNA (290 nucleotides) under uncultured bacterium. RNAcentral's name for it is "partial 16S ribosomal RNA". It matches the Rfam family "Bacterial small subunit ribosomal RNA", at positions 29 to 289 of the family's 1533-position model. The record is from RNAcentral.
ACGAACGCUGGCGGCGUGCUUAAGACAUGCAAGUCGAGCGGGGGGACCCAGAGCAGCUUGCUGUGAGGGUUCCCUAGCGGCGGACGGGUGAGUAACGCGUGGGCAACCUACCCGCGAAUCGGGGACAACAGUGGGAAACCGCUGCUAAUACCGGAUGAGCUUUUCUGACCGCAUGGUCGGGGAAGGAAAAGGCAGCCUCUGCAUAGCAAGCUGUCGUUCGCGGAUGGGCCCGCGUCCCCAUUAGCUAGUUGGUGGAGGUAACGGCCCACCAAGGCGACGAUGGGUAGCCG